This 1486-nucleotide ribosomal RNA is filed under the name uncultured bacterium. RNAcentral describes it as "bacterial SSU rRNA". It matches the Rfam family "Bacterial small subunit ribosomal RNA". The record is from RNAcentral.
AGAGUUUGAUCAUGGCUCAGGAUGAACGCUAGCGGCAGGCCUAAUACAUGCAAGUCGAACGAUACUUUCCAGCUUGCUGGAGAGGAAAGUGGCGCACGGGUGCGUAACGCGUAUGCAACCUACCUUCAUCAGGGGGAUAGCCCGGAGAAAUCCGGAUUAAUACCGCAUAAAAUCACAGGAUGGCAUUAUCCAAUGAUCAAACAUUUAUGGGAUGGAGAUGGGCAUGCGUGUCAUUAGCUAGUUGGCGGGGUAACGGCCCACCAAGGCGACGAUGACUAGGGGAUCUGAGAGGAUGGCCCCCCACACUGGUACUGAGACACGGACCAGACUCCUACGGGAGGCAGCAGUAAGGAAUAUUGGUCAAUGGAGGCAACUCUGAACCAGCCAUGCCGCGUGCAGGAAGACUGCCCUAUGGGUUGUAAACUGCUUUUAUCCGGGAAUAAACCUAAAUACGUGUAUUUAGCUGAAUGUACCGGAAGAAUAAGGAUCGGCUAACUCCGUGCCAGCAGCCGCGGUAAUACGGAGGAUCCAAGCGUUAUCCGGAUUUAUUGGGUUUAAAGGGUGCGUAGGCGGCCUGUUAAGUCAGGGGUGAAAGACGGUAGCUCAACUAUCGCAGUGCCCUUGAUACUGAUGGGCUUGAAUGGACUAGAGGUAGGCGGAAUGAGACAAGUAGCGGUGAAAUGCAUAGAUAUGUCUCAGAACACCGAUUGCGAAGGCAGCUUACUAUGGUCUUAUUGACGCUGAGGCACGAAAGCGUGGGGAUCAAACAGGAUUAGAUACCCUGGUAGUCCACGCCCUAAACGAUGAACACUCGCUGUUGGCGAUACACAGUCAGCGGCUAAGCGAAAGCGUUAAGUGUUCCACCUGGGGAGUACGCCCGCAAGGGUGAAACUCAAAGGAAUUGACGGGGGCCCGCACAAGCGGAGGAGCAUGUGGUUUAAUUCGAUGAUACGCGAGGAACCUUACCCGGGCUUGAAAGUUAGUGAAUGAUCCAGAGAUGGAUCAGUCCGCAAGGACACGAAACUAGGUGCUGCAUGGCUGUCGUCAGCUCGUGCCGUGAGGUGUUGGGUUAAGUCCCGCAACGAGCGCAACCCCUAUGUUUAGUUGCCAGCAUGUAAUGGUGGGGACUCUAAACAGACUGCCUGUGCAAACAGAGAGGAAGGAGGGGACGACGUCAAGUCAUCAUGGCCCUUACGUCCGGGGCUACACACGUGCUACAAUGGACGGUACAGAGGGCAGCUACAUAGCAAUAUGAUGCGAAUCUCACAAAGCCGUUCACAGUUCGGAUUGGGGUCUGCAACUCGACCCCAUGAAGUUGGAUUCGCUAGUAAUCGCGUAUCAGCAAUGACGCGGUGAAUACGUUCCCGGGCCUUGUACACACCGCCCGUCAAGCCAUGGAAGCUGGGGGUACCUAAAGUAUGUAACCGCAAGGAGCGUCCUAGGGUAAAACCGGUAACUGGGGCUAAGUCGUAACAAGGUAACCGUA